UACAGAGGUCCCAAGCGUUGUUCGGAUUCACUGGGCGUAAAGGGUGCGUAGGUGGUGAGGUAAGUCGGAUGUGAAAGCUCGGAGCUCAACUCCGAAAUGGCAUUGGAAACUACCUUACUCGAGGGUUGGAGGGGGGACUGGAAUACUUGGUGUAGCAGUGAAAUGCGUAGAUAUCGAGAGGAACACCAGUGGCGAAGGCGAGUCCCUGGACAACACCUGACACUGAGGCACGAAAGCUAGGGGAGCAAACAGG
This 253-nucleotide ribosomal RNA is filed under the name uncultured bacterium. Its description in RNAcentral is "partial 16S ribosomal RNA". It matches the Rfam family "Bacterial small subunit ribosomal RNA", at positions 524 to 776 of the family's 1533-position model. The record is from RNAcentral.